GGGCCGCUAGCUCAACGGCAGAGCAACUGACUCUUAAUCAGCAGGUUAUAGGUUCGAAUCCUAUGCGGCCCACCA
Molecule: transfer RNA, 75 nt
Filed under: Chloroflexia bacterium
Lineage: Bacteria; Bacillati; Chloroflexota; Chloroflexia
Description: tRNA-Lys
Rfam family: tRNA
About the family: Transfer RNA (tRNA) molecules are approximately 80 nucleotides in length. Their secondary structure includes four short double-helical elements and three loops (D, anti-codon, and T loops). Further hydrogen bonds mediate the characteristic L-shaped molecular structure. tRNAs have two regions of fundamental functional importance: the anti-codon, which is responsible for specific mRNA codon recognition, and the 3' end, to which the tRNAs corresponding amino acid is attached (by aminoacyl-tRNA synthetases). tRNAs cope with the degeneracy of the genetic code in two manners: having more than one tRNA (with a specific anti-codon) for a particular amino acid; and 'wobble' base-pairing, i.e. permitting non-standard base-pairing at the 3rd anti-codon position.
Source: RNAcentral